RNAcentral lists this ribosomal RNA (543 nucleotides) under uncultured bacterium. Its description in RNAcentral is "bacterial SSU rRNA". It matches the Rfam family "Bacterial small subunit ribosomal RNA", at positions 355 to 895 of the family's 1533-position model. The record is from RNAcentral.
UGAGGAAUAUUGGUCAAUGGGCGUAAGCCUGAACCAGCCAAGUAGCGUGCAGGAUGACGGCCCUAUGGGUUGUAAACUGCUUUUAUACGGGGAUAAAGUGCGCCACGUGUGGUGUUUUGCAGGUACCGUAUGAAUAAGGACCGGCUAAUUCCGUGCCAGCAGCCGCGGUAAUACGGAAGGUCCGGGCGUUAUCCGGAUUUAUUGGGUUUAAAGGGAGCGUAGGCCGCAUGUCAAGCGUGUUGUGAAAUGCAGGUGCUCAACACCUGGAUUGCAGCGCGAACUGUCGUGCUUGAGUGUGCGCAACGUUGGCGGAAUUCGUCGUGUAGCGGUGAAAUGCUUAGAUAUGACGAGGAACCCCGAUUGCGAAGGCAGCUGACGGGAGCAUAACUGACGCUGAAGCUCGAAGGUGCGGGUAUCGAACAGGAUUAGAUACCCUGGUAGUCCGCACGGUAAACGAUGGAUGCCCGCCGUCCGCCCUUUUAUUGGGCGUGUGGCCAAGCGAAAGCAUUAAGCAUCCCACCUGGGGAGUACGCCGGCAACGGU